Molecule: non-coding RNA, 45 nt
Organism: Trichobilharzia regenti
Lineage: Eukaryota; Metazoa; Platyhelminthes; Trematoda; Strigeidida; Schistosomatidae
Source: Rfam
AUCCAGAUGAAGAGUCCCAAAUAGGACGAAAUUCUCAUCCUGGAU